CCUACGGGAGGCAGCAGUGAGGAAUAUUGGUCAAUGGACGCAAGUCUGAACCAGCCAUGCCGCGUGCAGGAAGACUGCUCUAUGAGUUGUAAACUGCUUUUGUACGAGGGUAAACUCAGAUACGUGUACUUCUCUGCAUGUAUCGUACGAAUAAGGAUCGGCUAACUCCGUGCCAGCAGCCGCGGUAAUACGGAGGAUUCAAGCGUUAUCCGGAUUUAUUGGGUUUAAAGGGUGCGUAGGCGGUGGGAUAAGUUAGUGGUGAAAUCCCGAGGCUCAACUGCGGAAUUGCCUCUGAUACUGUUAGGCUAGAGAGUAGUAGCGGUAGGCGGAAUGUAUGGUGUAGCGGUGAAAUGCUUAGAGAUCAUACAGAACACCGAUUGCGAAGGCAGCUUACCAGGCUACAUCUGACGUUGAGGCACGAAAGCGUGGGGAGCAAACAGGAUUAGAUACCCCGGUAGUC
RNAcentral lists this ribosomal RNA (460 nucleotides) under uncultured bacterium. RNAcentral's name for it is "partial 16S ribosomal RNA". It matches the Rfam family "Bacterial small subunit ribosomal RNA", at positions 338 to 795 of the family's 1533-position model. The record is from RNAcentral.